This 468-nucleotide ribosomal RNA is filed under the name uncultured bacterium. RNAcentral describes it as "partial 16S ribosomal RNA". It matches the Rfam family "Bacterial small subunit ribosomal RNA", at positions 28 to 507 of the family's 1533-position model. The record is from RNAcentral.
GACGAACGCUGGCGGCGUGCUUAACACAUGCAAGUCGAACGGAAAGACCCUGCGUUUGUGGGUCUCACGUUAGGCGAGCGGGUGAGUAACACGUGAGUAUCCUGCCCCUGACUGUGGGAUAACUUCAGGAAACUGGGGCUAAUACCGGAGAUGACCUCCUGCUGCAUGGUGGGGGAUGGAGAGAUUCGGCCGUUGGGGAUGGACUCGAGGGUUAUCCGCUUGCUUGGCAAGUAGUGGCAUACAAAGGCUGUGACGGGUAGCCGGCCUGAGAGGGUGACCGGGCACAAUGGGACUGAGAUAGGGACCAGUAGGCAACGGGAGGCAGCAGUCGGGAAUAUUGCGCAACGGGCGGAAGUCAGAUGCAGAGACGUCGGGUGCGGGAUGACGGCCUUCGGGUUGUGAACAGAUUUCGAAUGAGACGAAGCCGGAGUGACGGUAAUGGGUAAAGAAGCACCGGCUAACUACGUG